GAUGAACGCUGGCGGCGUGCCUAAUACAUGCAAGUCGAGCGAACAGACGAGGAGCUUGCUCCUCUGACGUUAGCGGCGGACGGGUGAGUAACACGUGGAUAACCUACCUAUAAGACUGGGAUAACUUCGGGAAACCGGAGCUAAUACCGGAUAAUAUAUUGAACCGCAUGGUUCAAUAGUUAAAGACGGUUUUGCUGUCACUUAUAGAUGAAUCCGCGCCGCAUUAGCUAGUUGGUAAGGUAACGGCUUACCAAGGCUACGACGCGUAGCCGACCUGAGAGGGUGAUCGGCCACACUGGAACUGAGAAACGGUCCAGACUCCUACGGGAGGCAGCAGUAGGGAAUCUUCCGCAAUGGGCGAAAGCGUGACGGAGCAACGCCGCGUGAGUGAUGAAGGUCUUCGGAUCGUAAAACUCUGUUAUUAGGGAAGAACAAAUGUGUAAGUAACUAUGCACGUCUUGACGGUACCUAAUCAGAAAGCCACGGCUAACUACGUG
This 497-nucleotide ribosomal RNA is filed under the name uncultured bacterium. RNAcentral describes it as "partial 16S ribosomal RNA". It matches the Rfam family "Bacterial small subunit ribosomal RNA", at positions 28 to 507 of the family's 1533-position model. The record is from RNAcentral.